AUUGUGGCGCCAAACCACAUUUGGACCAAAGAGGCAGCCAACCUCCUGACCUUCCUCGGCGUCGACCACUUGACGUUGGAUGGGAAUGGCGGGAUCGACGGCCAAGGCGCCAUCUGGUGGGAUUGCUACAACCGGAAGAAAUGCCACGCCCGGCCUAUUGUAAGUAGACA
Molecule: long non-coding RNA, 170 nt
Organism: Panicum hallii
Lineage: Eukaryota; Viridiplantae; Streptophyta; Magnoliopsida; Poales; Poaceae
Exons: 2
Source: RefSeq, a predicted model, not a curated record